UACGCAUACAAAACAAAAGGGAGAAAUACAGAGAGUAGGGAAUGAGAAAUAGAGUUGGGAAGAGAGUAGAACAAGAGAAGAGGAGUAAGGUGGUUCGGCCAUGGAAGGAGAGACUCAAGGCUGGAAGUUUUAAAAAGCUAUAUCCUCAUCUUCACACCAUCAACCUCUUAUCCUCAUAUCCUCAUCUAAAGGGAGAAGAGAGACAAUAGAGGGACAAAGAUCAAGAGAAGGAAAGGAAAGAAGUAGGAGGUCCGGCCAUGGAAGGAAGAAAUCAAGGCUGGAAUUUUCGGCACCAACCUCAUCUUCUCAUCAUCUCCAUGUUUGUAUAAGAUAUGCUGGCAAGAAAAGGGAGGAUGAGAGUGAUAGCAUCAUCUUCAGCAUUUUAGAGAGGGCACAAUAUUGUUAUAAUGCAUACACACAUGAUCACAAUGCAUUCUCCAUGGAUGGCUUCAGUGGUUUGUUGGUGGAGUACAUGGUUAGAGAAGCUGAAAGCUUCAUGCCCAGGUGGGCAGAUACAAGAGCACCCGAUGAGCAUCCUUUCUUCCCAGUGGACUUUCCGGAACCAAUGCUUCCACCUUUGCAAUACCCACAGGUUUUGCAUCCUGGUGCUGAUGCAAUCAAUAUCAACAACUAGGUUUGGAAUAUGUAUUUUAAGGAUCUUCUCCCAAGAAUGGUAAAAGGAGGGGAUGACGGUAACUGCGGAUCAUGUGCUGUCUGUGACACAAUGUGCUUGCAGGUAUCGUUUGUCCUAAAAUGCUUUUAUUUACAUUUAUUUUAUAUAAUUUUUUUUGUGCUCUCAUUCAGUGUCACUAAGUGAUAUAGAUAAGUACACUGUGAAUCCACAGUACUAUUAGAGAUUGGAUUUUUACAUAAUGUUUAGAUGUCAAAAGGCAGUUUUGGAGCAACAACCAAACUUAUAUUACCAAGCUUUACAAGAAUGGUUUUAGGCAAUUUUAUUGUUGGAUUGAUUACUAUCUUCAUCACACGUGGAUUCCUUUGUUGCUCACUCACUCAUGGCCUACCAUGAUGCAGCUGUAGUUAUGGAAAAAUGCAGGGAAAUGAGACCCACUGUUUGAUGGCUCUCUGCCAGAAACCAACCUCAUGUAACUAUGGCUAUCUGUUUUAUCAGGAAAUUUAUGUGUGUGUGUGUUACAAUUAAUGACAAUAAUUUGAUAGUAACUGAGUUAAAUUUAUUUCCUUUGCAUUUAAGUAAGGACAAUAAUUUAGUGGAAGCAUCAAAGCAGGCUGCAAAAAUAACAAUAGGCUGCUGUCUUCAACUCUUUUCUGCAUUUAUUCAGUUUAAUGUUUUUGCACCUGACACAAUUAGCUGACAAUAAUUGAGGUUUUGUUAUAUAAAGCGUGUUUACAAGUUUUGUACGCAAAAUUAUGCCAGCCUUCAGUAUUCUUAGUGAUGUAUGAACAAGGCAGUUUCUAGUGGUAUACAAAUUAAACCAAAAUUAAUUGCACAAUCAAAUUAUUGAAAUGUUCAUUUCAUUUUCUUCAUGGUAGGACUUUUGCUAAAUGCUUUGCCUCUUAUCUUCUUGGUGGACUAUCUUGUCAUCUUCAUUAUGCCUGCAGGCACUGUCGAAAAGAAUCCAUUAUAUUAUUAUUAUUAUUCUUAUUUGUUGUGUUGUAUCUGUUUAGUUUUUCGUUUCGUCAAAAAUAUUGAAACAUAAUUGCUGAAUUCUUCUUUUUUAAAGUGUGUUCAUAUUAGUUGGAGGAAUCUUCCCAACUUUUACCCUUCAUAGUUUUCAAUAUAUAUUAUACAUAUUUAAUUUACUUAAAAUUUUAUUCAAUUUUAAUUUUUUCUAAAGAGGCUUGUCUUACUCUCCGAGAUAGUAAUAUUAUUUUUAUUUGAAAAGCAUUUGAACAAUCUUCUUAUGUUUUAUAGAGACUAAUUAUUAAUAGUUAAAAAUUUAUAAAUUGGCCAAAAAAACCAAUUGUUGGGAAAAUUCUAAGCAUGUUUGAAUAAUUAAUAAAAACAAAAAUUUAGUUGUAAAG
Molecule: long non-coding RNA, 2001 nt
Organism: Cornus florida
Lineage: Eukaryota; Viridiplantae; Streptophyta; Magnoliopsida; Cornales; Cornaceae
Exons: 5
Source: RefSeq, a predicted model, not a curated record